RNAcentral lists this transfer RNA (85 nucleotides) under Tritrichomonas foetus. It matches the Rfam family "tRNA". From Rfam's summary of the family: Transfer RNA (tRNA) molecules are approximately 80 nucleotides in length. Their secondary structure includes four short double-helical elements and three loops (D, anti-codon, and T loops). Further hydrogen bonds mediate the characteristic L-shaped molecular structure. tRNAs have two regions of fundamental functional importance: the anti-codon, which is responsible for specific mRNA codon recognition, and the 3' end, to which the tRNAs corresponding amino acid is attached (by aminoacyl-tRNA synthetases). tRNAs cope with the degeneracy of the genetic code in two manners: having more than one tRNA (with a specific anti-codon) for a particular amino acid; and 'wobble' base-pairing, i.e. permitting non-standard base-pairing at the 3rd anti-codon position. The record is from Rfam by way of RNAcentral. Lineage: Eukaryota; Parabasalia; Tritrichomonadida; Tritrichomonadidae.
CCGCUCUUAGCUCAGUGGUAGAGCAUGUGACUGUAGUCUUCAGUUGGAUAUCACAGGGUCGCCGGUUCGAUUCCAGCAGCGCGGA